Molecule: ribosomal RNA, 484 nt
Filed under: uncultured bacterium
Lineage: Bacteria
Description: partial 16S ribosomal RNA
Rfam family: Bacterial small subunit ribosomal RNA
Source: RNAcentral
AUUGAACGCUGGCGGCAGGCCUAACACAUGCAAGUCGAGCGGAUGAAGGGAGCUUGCUCCUGGAUUCAGCGGCGGACGGGUGAGUAAUGCCUAGGAAUCUGCCUGGUAGUGGGGGAUAACGUCCGGAAACGGGCGCUAAUACCGCAUACGUCCUGAGGGAGAAAGUGGGGGAUCUUCGGACCUCACGCUAUCAGAUGAGCCUAGGUCGGAUUAGCUAGUUGGUGGGGUAAAGGGCUACCAAGGCGACGAUCCGUAACUGGUCUGAGAGGAUGAUCAGUCACACUGGAAGUGAGACACGGUCCAGACUCCUACGGGAGGCAGCAGUGGGGAAUAUUGGACAAUGGGCGAAAGCCUGAUCCAGCCAUGCCGCGUGUGUGAAGAAGGUCUUCGGAUUGUAAAGCACUUUAAGUCGGGAGGAAGGGCAGUAAGUUAAUACCUUGCUGUUUUGACGGUACCAACAGAAUAAGCACCGGCUAACUUCGUG